Molecule: ribosomal RNA, 498 nt
Filed under: uncultured bacterium
Lineage: Bacteria
Description: partial 16S ribosomal RNA
Rfam family: Bacterial small subunit ribosomal RNA
Source: RNAcentral
GACGAACGCUGGCGGCGUGCCUAAUACAUGCAAGUCGAACGAGAGCGACCGGUGCUUGCACUGGUCAAUCUAGUGGCGAACGGGUGAGUAACACGUGGGUAACCUGCCCAUCAGAGGGGGAUAACAUCCGGAAACGGAUGCUAAAACCGCAUAGGUCUUCGAACCGCAUGGUUUGAAGAGGAAAAGAGGCGCAAGCUUCUGCUGAUGGAUGGACCCGCGGUGCAUUAGCUAGUUGGUGAGGUAACGGCUCACCAAGGCCGUGAUGCAUAGCCGACCUGAGAGGGUGAUCGGCCACAUUGGGACUGAGACACGGCCCAAACUCCUACGGGAGGCAGCAGUAGGGAAUCUUCCGCAAUGGUCGCAAGUCUGACGGAGCAACGCCGCGUGAGUGAAGAAGGUUUUCGGAUCGUAAAACUCUGUUGUUAGAGAAGAACAAGUGCUAGAGUAACUGUUAGCGCCUUGACGGUAUCUAACCAGAAAGCCACGGCUAACUACGUG